AACAAGGCGUACCUGCGGACCUGCGGAGGGAUCAUUAUCGAGUUUUGACUGGGUUGUAGCUGGCCUUUCCGAGGCAUCGUGCACGCCCUGCUCAUCCACUCUACACCUGUGCACUUACUGUGGGUUAUGGAUCGUGUGGAACGAGCUCUUUGACGAGUUUGUGAAGCACGUCUGUGCCUGCGUUUUACCACAAACACUACAAAGUAUUAGAAUGUGUAUUGCGAUGUAACGCAUCUAUAU
This 240-nucleotide unclassified non-coding RNA is filed under the name soil metagenome. RNAcentral's name for it is "partial contains 5.8S ribosomal RNA, internal transcribed spacer 2, and large subunit ribosomal RNA". The record is from RNAcentral.